GAUCCUGGAUCAGGACGAACGCUGGCGGCGCGCCUAACACAUGCAAGUCGAACGAGAGAUGAAGAGCUUGCUCUUCAAAUCGAGUGGCGAACGGGUGAGUAACGCGUGAGGAACCUGCCUCAAAGAGGGGGACAACAGUUGGAAACGACUGCUAAUACCGCAUAAGCCCACAGCUCGGCAUCGAGCAGAGGGAAAAGGAGUGAUCCGCUUUGAGAUGGCCUCGCGUCCGAUUAG
This 234-nucleotide ribosomal RNA is filed under the name uncultured bacterium. RNAcentral describes it as "partial 16S ribosomal RNA". It matches the Rfam family "Bacterial small subunit ribosomal RNA", at positions 15 to 244 of the family's 1533-position model. The record is from RNAcentral.